This 1099-nucleotide long non-coding RNA is filed under the name Mus spicilegus (steppe mouse). RNAcentral describes it as "lncRNA (ENSMSIG00000031300.1)". The record is from RNAcentral. Lineage: Eukaryota; Metazoa; Chordata; Mammalia; Rodentia; Muridae.
UUGAUGGAUUUGACAAUCACUUAAUUCUACUAGAGCCUGACCUUCAGUCUGGAAGUCAGAUAUACGCAGCAGAGACGUAGAUGAUAGCCGCAGGCUGCUGCUGGUGGGCAGCUGACAGAGUCCAGCUUAAAGGACUGCCUUCAGUACAUCUACAUUCUUCUACCUGGGACUGUGUGUGGCCAUGCGGACAGGCUCUCACCUUCACUAAACAAUUCAACUGGUGAGGGUAAAGGGGUAGGGGGGCUUGCCUGGCAUCCCUGAGUAAGUAACAAAGUUGGAAGGAGAGUGUUAGAACACCAGUAUUGAACCUGCAUUCAUUGAAUGUAUUUCCUUCUCUUCCUCUCUCCACAGAGGGCUGCUGCUGCUGUGGUUUGUGCAUGCUCUCUGUUGAGAUGGUUAUUUGGUGCUUAUUCAGCUGGGCUAGAAUGCUGAUUUGUAAAGUGUCAAUCUUCAGAGACCCUUCAUUAACUGGAGGCAAACAGGUUUGAUGUUAGCCAGCUGCUAGGAUGGAUGUUCUGUAUCCACCCACUCGGCAAGGCUUACCUGAAUGCCUAGGCUUCGUUGAGUGUGGAGAAGAGGCAAUGUGAAUAACAACACUUAGCCCCAGAUUCACAUAGAAACAAAGCUCUGGGGCGGUGCUGACUCGUUCCAAUGAGAGGUCUGGGCUGUUCACAAAAAGUUCUCAGUGUCUGGAGCCUGAGUAGCUGAAGAAGUCAGCUCAAAAGCACACAAUCCCGAAGCACGACAGGUCUGUGGAGGAAGGGAAAGAAUAGACAGGGGCAGAAAGGCAGAGCACAUGAGGAGUUGAAGCUGGAAAGAGAGAUAUUGGAGCUUAUAGACUCUUUAGCCCUACUCAGGACAAUGUUAUGUGGACAAGGGAGAGCCACCAAAGGUCUUUGAAUGUAGAUUUGCAUGGAUUUAGAAAGUAUUUGGCAACCCUUUAAGGAAUAGAAGGAGAGAUAACACUGGCUUAGUAUGUCUCAAGGUGGACUCAAAAUGCAAUGGAUGUGAGCUAGAAGUCAAUAGUACGGAAGGGAGUGGGGACAGAGAGAUAAGAACAGUUCUCAUGGAAUAAUAAAGUGGGUAGAGGUGGAUGUCA